GGGAUAACUACUGGAAACGGUAGUUAAUACCGCAUAACGUCGCAAGACCAAAGAGGGGGGACCUUCGGGCCUCUUGCCAUCAGAUGUGCCCAGAUGGGAUUAGAUAGUAGGUGGGGUAAUGGCUCACCUAGGCGACGAUCCCUAGCUGGUCUGAGAGGAUGACCAGCCACUCUGGAAGUGAGACACGGUCCAGACUCCUACGGGAGGCAGCAGUGGGGAAUAUUGCACAAUGGGCGCAAGCCUGAUGCAGCCAUGCCGCGUGUGUGAAGAAGGCCUUCGGGUUGUAAAGCACUUUCAGCGAGGAGGAAGGUGGUGAACUUAAUACGUUCAUCAAUUGACGUUACUCGCAGAAGAAGCACCGGCUAACUCCGUGCCAGCAGCCGCGGUAAUACGGAGGGUGCAAGCGUUAAUCGGAAUUACUGGGCGUAAAGCGCACGCAGGCGGUUUGUUAAGUCAGAUGUGAAAUCCCCGGGCUCAACCUGGGAACUGCAUUUGAAACUGGCAAGCUAGAGUCUCGUAGAGGGGGGUAGAAUUCCAGGUGUAGCGGUGAAAUGCGUAGAGAUCUGGAGGAAUACCGGUGGCGAAGGCGGCCCCCUGGACGAAGACUGACGCUC
RNAcentral lists this ribosomal RNA (614 nucleotides) under Serratia sp. MNR1. RNAcentral's name for it is "bacterial SSU rRNA". It matches the Rfam family "Bacterial small subunit ribosomal RNA", at positions 140 to 748 of the family's 1533-position model. Lineage: Bacteria; Pseudomonadati; Pseudomonadota; Gammaproteobacteria; Enterobacterales; Yersiniaceae. The record is from RNAcentral.